This 72-nucleotide transfer RNA is filed under the name Polyangiaceae bacterium. Its description in RNAcentral is "tRNA-Gln". It matches the Rfam family "tRNA". From Rfam's summary of the family: Transfer RNA (tRNA) molecules are approximately 80 nucleotides in length. Their secondary structure includes four short double-helical elements and three loops (D, anti-codon, and T loops). Further hydrogen bonds mediate the characteristic L-shaped molecular structure. tRNAs have two regions of fundamental functional importance: the anti-codon, which is responsible for specific mRNA codon recognition, and the 3' end, to which the tRNAs corresponding amino acid is attached (by aminoacyl-tRNA synthetases). tRNAs cope with the degeneracy of the genetic code in two manners: having more than one tRNA (with a specific anti-codon) for a particular amino acid; and 'wobble' base-pairing, i.e. permitting non-standard base-pairing at the 3rd anti-codon position. The record is from RNAcentral. Lineage: Bacteria; Pseudomonadati; Myxococcota; Polyangiales; Polyangiaceae.
UCGGGGAUCGUCUAAUGGAAGGACAGGAGCCUUUGAAGCUCCCAGGUCGUGGUUCGAGCCCACGUCCCCGAG